RNAcentral lists this ribosomal RNA (491 nucleotides) under uncultured bacterium. RNAcentral's name for it is "partial 16S ribosomal RNA". It matches the Rfam family "Bacterial small subunit ribosomal RNA", at positions 29 to 506 of the family's 1533-position model. The record is from RNAcentral.
AGUGAACGCUGGCGGUAGGCCUAACACAUGCAAGUCGAACGGCAGCACAGUAAGAGCUUGCUCUUACGGGUGGCGAGUGGCGGACGGGUGAGGAAUACAUCGGAAUCUACUUUUUCGUGGGGGAUAACGUAGGGAAACUUACGCUAAUACCGCAUACGACCUACGGGUGAAAGCAGGGGAUCUUCGGACCUUGCGCGAUUGAAUGAGCCGAUGUCGGAUUAGCUAGUUGGCGGGGUAAAGGCCCACCAAGGCGACGAUCCGUAGCUGGUCUGAGGGGAUGAUCGGCCACACUGGAACUAGGAAACGUUCCAGACUCCUACGGAAGGAGGCGGUGGGAAAUAUUGGACAAGGGGGGCAAGCCUGAUCCAGCCAUACCGCGUGGGUGAAGAAGGCCUUCGGGUUGUAAAGCCCUUUUGUUGGGAAAAAAAAGCAGCAGGUUAAUACCCCGCUGUUCUGACGGUACCAAAAGAAUAAGCACCGGCAAACUUCGU